GUUCGCUAGUCUCCGUCGUCCGCCGGACGUUAAGCUGCUCUGGUCGAGGAUAAACGACCCCUCUGACCGAGGCUAAUCCGUCGUCCGUGUUACCGCUCCGGCACACGUUAAAGAGCGUUCCGCGUUGUGAGUCUCGAUCCAUUCGGUGAUAACAAAAUCGUUUACAACCGGUAGCGAUGGAUCCCUUGGCACGUCAUUCGAUGAAGACCGUUGCAAAUUGCGAUAAAGUGAUGUGAUGCGCAAGUCCACCACUUAUACGUGAAUCAUCGAGUUGUUGAACGCAUUGCACCGCGCCCUAAACCGGCUGCGGUAUGCCCCUUUGAGCGUCAUUGCAUACCUUCGGGAGUCCUUUCAUGUUUUUCGUGAGGGACCCGAGUUCGGAGUCCUCGGUCCUUUGGGAUCGUGUUCUCUCAGAUGCAUCGCGCCGAUCGCCUGAUGGGUAACUCUAAUGCCUGAGCGUGGAGUCCCUCGGAGUCGAGACGUGCUGGACCGGGUGUCGAAGCCCGUGUCUCCAAGUUCGAGACGGCAGACCUCUGCCUCUCGGUACUACAACCACAUGACCUCAUUGGGGUAGGACAACCCGCUAGACUUAAGCAUAUUAAUCAGCGGAGGAAAAGAAACUAACCAGGAUUCCCUCAGUAACUGCGAGUGAAGCGGGAUCGGCUCAAUGUGUGAAUCUGCCUCGGGGUACAUCCCGGGUUCGAGUUGUGCACUAUGGACGUUUCGUCUGCGUUUGUAAAGGCGGUGGAAGUCCGUUGAAACACGGCACCUCAGAGGGUCAUAGUCCUGUACCACCUGUCUGCACUCGCGCCAAUGACAAGCGCUCCUCGAGUCGCGUAGUUUUGUAUUGCUGCGCCAAGUGGGAGGUAGAGACCUUCUAAGGCUAAAUAUGAUGACGUGACCGAUAGCACACAAGUACCGCGAGGGAAAGGUGAAAAGCAACCAUGAAAAAUGGGUUGAAACAGUAGUGAAAUCGCUACCGGGAUAAGGGCUAUCGGGUGCUGGGGCUUAUCGGGUGUGCUUUAGUGCUACCCUUUGAGACGGCCCGCGCGGGUUGAUGUUGGGGCGAUAAACGCGCCGUA
Molecule: ribosomal RNA, 1082 nt
Filed under: uncultured Tulasnellaceae
Lineage: Eukaryota; Fungi; Basidiomycota; Agaricomycetes; Cantharellales; Tulasnellaceae
Description: eukaryotic LSU rRNA
Rfam family: Eukaryotic large subunit ribosomal RNA (bases 558-1082)
Source: RNAcentral